AGUAUUUGGUAUCUGCGCUCUGCUGAAGCCAGUUACCAGGUUAAGCAGUUCCCCAACUGACUUAACCUUCGAAAAACCACCUCCCCAGGUGGUUUUUUCGU
Molecule: non-coding RNA, 101 nt
Filed under: Escherichia coli
Lineage: Bacteria; Pseudomonadati; Pseudomonadota; Gammaproteobacteria; Enterobacterales; Enterobacteriaceae
Also listed under: 2 other names
Source: RNAcentral